This 253-nucleotide ribosomal RNA is filed under the name uncultured bacterium. Its description in RNAcentral is "partial 16S ribosomal RNA". It matches the Rfam family "Bacterial small subunit ribosomal RNA", at positions 524 to 776 of the family's 1533-position model. The record is from RNAcentral.
UACGGGGGGAGCAAGCGUUGUUCGGAUUUACUGGGCGUAAAGGGCGCGUAGGCGGCGUGACAAGUCACUUGUGAAAUCUCCGGGCUUAACUCGGAACGGUCAAGUGAUACUGUCGUGCUAGAGUACAGAAGGGGCAACUGGAAUCCUCGGUGUAGCGGUGAAAUGCGUAGAUAUCGAGAGGAACACCUGCGGCGAAGGCGGGUUGCUGGGCUGAUACUGACGCUGAGGCGCGAAAGCCAGGGGAGCAAACGGG